AAGUCGUAACAAGGUUUCCGUAGGUGAACCUGCGGAAGGAUCAUUAAAAGUGAUUGGUUAUACAUUUCAUGUAUCAACUGCAUUAACCAUCCUGCAGUACCUUGCCUGUUGCUUCCAUGGGGCCUGGCACCUCAGGUGCACUCUUGUGAUGUGAAACCCAAGAGAGUCCCAUGGAGGUAAGUCAUUAAAUUCAUGUAUCCAAUGUCUUCUGUCUGAACUGUUUAUAACAAAUGUUAAAA
Molecule: unclassified non-coding RNA, 239 nt
Filed under: plant metagenome
Description: partial contains small subunit ribosomal RNA and internal transcribed spacer 1
Rfam family: Eukaryotic small subunit ribosomal RNA (bases 1-46)
Source: RNAcentral